AGAGAGAGACAUGCGCGCAUAUCAAUAAGCGGAGGAAAAGAAACUAACAAGGAUUCCCCUAGUAACGGCGAGUGAAGCGGGAAGAGCUCAAAUUUGAAAUCUUAAAGGGUUUCCCUUUACGAAUUGUAGUUUAAAGAAGUGUUUUCUGUUGAGGUUUUGGUAAAAGUUCUUUGGAAUAGGACAUCAUAGAGGGUGAGAAUCCCGUAUUUGACCUUUACUUUCAACUUUGUGAUACACUUUCAAAGAGUCGGAUUGUUUGGGAAUGCAGUCCAAAAUGGGUGGUAAAUUUCAUCUAAAGCUAAAUAUUGGCGAGAGACCGAUAGCGAACAAGUACCGUGAGGGAAAGAUGAAAAGAACUUUGAAAAGAGAGUUAAACAGUACGUGAAAUUGUCAAAAGGGAAGCGUUUGACACCAGUGUUGUUUUUCUGAAAAUCAAUUAAAGAACUGUUUAUGCUAAGUUGUUUAGACUUUAUCAGCUAUCUGUUUAGUUUUGAGCUUUUCUUUAAUGCACUUUUCAGUUAACAAGUCAACAUCAAUUUCUUUUGCUGUAAAAAAGCUUGAGGAAGGUGGCUUGAGAUUCGUCUUAAGUGUUUAUAGCCUCUUGCCUAUGCAGUCGGAGAGAUUGAGGUCUGCAGCGUAGAUCCUUCGGGGCUAAAUGCAUUUGUGCUAAGUUAUAACAUUUUAUAGACAACUUGUUGACUAUGAUUUGUCUUGUAGCUUACUCGCUUAUGUUAUUUUACCUACGCUUAGGAUGUUGACGCAUGAGAUAUACGC
RNAcentral lists this ribosomal RNA (774 nucleotides) under uncultured Neocallimastigales. RNAcentral describes it as "partial large subunit ribosomal RNA". It matches the Rfam family "Eukaryotic large subunit ribosomal RNA", at positions 23 to 647 of the family's 3401-position model. Lineage: Eukaryota; Fungi; Neocallimastigomycota; Neocallimastigomycetes; Neocallimastigales. The record is from RNAcentral.